Long non-coding RNA from Ochotona curzoniae (black-lipped pika), 474 nucleotides. RefSeq lists it as uncharacterized. The transcript has 3 exons. The record is from RefSeq and is a predicted model, not a curated record. Lineage: Eukaryota; Metazoa; Chordata; Mammalia; Lagomorpha; Ochotonidae.
AGCUCAGAGUAAUGUAAUACGAGAACAACUUGAUCCCACCAUUCCUGGCUUCAUGAUCAAAGAUGGAGCCAUGAGCCCAGGAAUGUGGGCAGCCUUUUGAAGCUCAAGCAGCAGUAGAAAGUUAACACUGAGCGGUUUGAUCGACCCUCCCAGCAAAGGAGGUUGUGAAAGCAAAUCAACAAGCAUUUUUAUGAGGAGUCUUUAACUCAGUUGGGAUUGCACAAUCAAGAAGCAUGACACUACAGAACACAGAGACAGAAAGGAAACGAACUGCAGAUGGAAGAGAACUUUGCAUCCGAGGCAACAGUCAUGGAAGAGCAGCCCAGACAUGCGUAACAGAUCACCUCACAAAGAGGAAAUAAGUGAGAACCCUGUAAGUUGGCAAAUGAGAAAGAAGCAUCCACGUAAGAACCACUUCUGCUUUCAAGAGUGGGAAGGUCAGCUUUCAUCCUCCUCAUCCUUACUCACCAAACC